CCGGGAUAGCUCAGUUGGUAGAGCAGAGAURACUGAAAAUCCUCGUGUCA
Molecule: transfer RNA, 50 nt
Filed under: Riccia gangetica
Lineage: Eukaryota; Viridiplantae; Streptophyta; Marchantiopsida; Marchantiales; Ricciaceae
Description: partial tRNA-Phe
Source: RNAcentral